UUGGUUCCGAUAAACGUUGAGUUUUUCCUAGUUGUCCGUCGGCAUCUAGUUGUGAUUUCUAUUCCCAUUCAUCGCCGUUGUGAUGUCUGGAUGUGGCCGUAUCCUUUGAAAAAAAAAACAAACCAAAAUACCCAGUAAUAAAUAUCAAAUCCCAGUGGACGUUUCCAUUGGUGGAUCCUUGUAUUGUGCAAAUUCUACG
RNAcentral lists this long non-coding RNA (199 nucleotides) under Lathyrus oleraceus (garden pea). RNAcentral describes it as "Pisum sativum (pea) long non-coding RNA (PSAT_LNC000060)". The record is from RNAcentral. Lineage: Eukaryota; Viridiplantae; Streptophyta; Magnoliopsida; Fabales; Fabaceae.